GCGGCUUUUCAUUGGCGGGUCCGCCGCCCGCCCCGCCGCGGUCGAGGAUCCUGGAGGUUUGUCCCCACCGCCCCGACGCUUCCGCCCCAUCCGUCGGCACGUCGGCCCUGCCUCCCAGACCACCCUGCGGGGCGCACCAGCGAUCUGGAGUGCGGGGCUCGGCCUCCCUGCGCUCCUGGCUGACGGUGUGACCUUGGACGGCUUCGUGCCCCUGGGCGCCCUCCUGCAGUUGCCCCAGUUCCGCGGCUUCUCUGCUGAAGAUGUGCAGCGCGUGGUGGACACCAAUAGGAAGCAGCGGUUCGCCCUGCAGCCCGGGGAUCCCAGCACUGGCCUUCUCAUCCGGGCCAACCAGGGCCAUUCCCUGCAG
This 367-nucleotide small RNA is filed under the name Pongo abelii (Sumatran orangutan). RNAcentral describes it as "processed transcript". Lineage: Eukaryota; Metazoa; Chordata; Mammalia; Primates; Hominidae. The record is from RNAcentral.